AAACCGUUCAGGGGUAAACCUGAGAAACCCAAAAGAUCGAAUGGGGAGAUUCUUCGUCAACGGUGCUGGCUCCCGUUGGUGCGCGAUGCUCCGGAUGGGCCCUCGUGGUUCCGUUAGCGAGGGCACGCCACCUUCGGCCUGAAUGUUCCGGUGCCGUAGUCGUGCACUUCUCCUCUAGUAGAACGUCGCGACCCGUUGUGUGUCGGUCUACGGCCCGAGAGGGCGCCUGUCGCGUCGCUUCGCGCGCACGCGGCAGACCCUCGGUCGCCUGGCCGGCUGCACGACGGUACUCGCACGGUAUCGGGCCGCAACCAAUCCAUUCUCGAAUGUGUUUGCGUCUGUCCCGCCGCAAGCUCGGUCAGUUUUACCCGGAGGCACGGAGUCUGUGGCCGUCCCCGGGCCUGGCCAGCUGUUCGCUGUGCGGAGUCCUCAGACUGGCCAAGCCUCGAAUUACCGGUCGGCGACGCUAUUGCUUUGGGUACUCUCAGGACCCGUCUUGAAACACGGACCAAGGAGUCUAACAUGUGCGCGAGUCAAUGGGAUUGAUUAAACCUAAAGGCGAAAUGAAAGUAAAAAUCGGCCUUCGCGUCGAUCGAGGGAGGAUGGGCCGCGUUGCUAUGCGGCCUCGCACUCCCGGGGCGUCUCGUUCUCAUUGCGAGGAGAGGCGCACCCAGAGCGUACACGUUGGGACCCGAAAGAUGGUGAACUACGCCUGGUCAGGACGAAGUCAGGGGAAACCUUGAUGGAGGUCCGCAGCGAUUCUGACGUGCAAAUCGAUGGUAGGAACUGGGUAUAGGGGCGAAAGAAUAAUCGACCCAUUUAGUAGCUGGUUCCCUCCGAAGUUUCCCUCAGGAUAGUUGGCACUCGGUCGUUCCUAUGUGAACAGACGCGAGUCUCAUCUGGUAAAGCGAAUGAUUAGAGGCCUUGGGGCCGAAAGGACCUCCACCUAUUCUCAAACUUCAAAUGGGUGAGAUCUUUGGCUUGCUUGGAUCAUGAAGCCACGAGAUUU
Molecule: ribosomal RNA, 1009 nt
Filed under: Centris rupestris
Lineage: Eukaryota; Metazoa; Arthropoda; Insecta; Hymenoptera; Apidae
Description: eukaryotic LSU rRNA
Rfam family: Eukaryotic large subunit ribosomal RNA
Source: RNAcentral